CUCUGUCCGUCUCUUGGUGUUCCCUGAUUGGCUGCAACAAAUGUUGUGCUUCAUCAGAUGACUGGGGGUAUUUAAAGAGCUAUGCGAUGCGCAUGCACCCUGGGGUCAUGGUAGAAUUAUAUAUUUUAGAGAAAGGUACCGAAACGUUUCGAAUGCUAUGUUUUGUUAACAUUUUUUUUAGAUGUGUUGCGCUUUUGUGCGAUAUUAUUGUUAUAGUAAGGAAAGUAUAAGAGGGAAAGAUGACCACAUCUUGGCAAACUCCCCAACACACCCCUGAUAUGCGACAAAAUGGCAACGUCAUCCUGCAGCGUCGUUUAUAAACUUGAGUGAGACCCCCGGGGAUGGGGAAAUGGCCCCGGCCAAUCACAUGACUUGAUGGACUAGUUUGGGCAAGACAGCUCAGGUCAUUUCUCAUUAUUUAGCAGGUCACUCUUGUUUUGAGUCGGCGUCUUCUCGUUCUGCUGGUCUCUCAGGUUGUCCACUGUCUCACCCUCAGAUACAUUGUCCCAGUAAGGGGACAGAAAAUGGACAUCUCCCUUUUGGAUGAGACAAAAAAGUUCCUCUUGAUUACGGUCUGGACUUCGGAAUGGAGGAAACCCACUCAGGAGUACAAACAGGAUAACACCCAUCGCCCAGAUGUCUACUUCAACACCGUAACCUAUUCAUUCAAAGACAUACACACACACAUUUACGCUGAAAAUUUCUAAAUGUACCAACAUUUUUAAAAUUGAGAACUUGGAAAGUUGCAACUCAGGUUUUUUUGUGUCUAACCAGUUCCGCUAAUCUGGGUAAAGCAAGGGAUUUUACCUGUCUCAGCAAGUAUCUCUGGAGCAACAUAUGUGGGUGUGCCACAAACUGUAAACACAGGCUCUGUUAUCACCAUAGCUAAUCCAAAAUCGGCCAAUUUCAGAUUUAAACUUCCAUUGCCAUGCCGCUGAACCUUUGAACAAGUAAUAGAGAGUUAAAUUGAAAUCACCAACCACUAAUAAUUCAUAAAUUCUAUUUUACUUCAAUUAAUACUAAUGUACAACAUACAAAUAAUUUUUUACCAGUAGAUUUUCAGGUUUGAUAUCUCUGUGUGCAAUGCUCUUGUUGUGGAUGUAUUCCAGAGCCUGGCUGAUAUCUCUGAUCAUGCAUGCAGCACUUGGCUCAUUAAACCUGCCGCUCUGUGAGAUAGCAUCAAACAGGUCUCCACCGGUGACCAGCUCCAUCAGCAGGUACACAUGGGUGUCGGUGUGAUGUGAACGAAAGAGCUGAAUGAGUCGAGGAUGUUCCAGGCUACGUAGCAGAGAAAUCUCAUUCUUGAUCAUGUGACCGCGUCCCUGCAGCUUAGCGUUGUCCACGAUCUUCAUGGCAAAGAUUUCUGGUACGCCAUGCACUCGGCACUCCCUUACCACCGCGAAGUUCCCAUCCCCUACCACGCGGCCGAUCUCGUAACAGCGCUCGAUGUCUUCCGGUGUAACUUCCGCACCAUCUGCUGGUAGAUUAGCCUGGAAGUUUCUCUGUUUUGCCGCUUCUUGGUUAUGAAUGGCCUGCACAGUCUCGAAUAUAACUUCGGUGCUGAAAGCAUUAUCCAGGUUUUUAUCAGCAGAGUUAGGAUUGGCAACAUGCUCUUCGACUUUCAGUGGUCUGUGCGGUGUGUUUUCUGAAGUCUUAUUUGCAUCACUAGGGUUAUUUGGCCUAUACUGUGGUUUGCUUCUGAUUGGGGGUAUAGGUGGGCCACAUCCACGACAGCUCCUGCAAUAAACCGGUUCUGCCUUUCUUUCCUCCUUCUUUGGCUCCUUUUUAUCGUCUUUAUGUUGGUCACCCUUCCUCACCCACAACUCUCUGUCUUUUCUCUGCCUUUCUUUUUUAACUUUAUCUCUUUGCCGUCCUUGACCUCCAACAGGCUGCAGGUUGUUGGCAGCUGGUUGGUUUAGAUGUUGAUCACAUACAGUAGGUAAAGGCCCCUCACCGCCAGGUUCAUCGUCAUGGAAACCACUAUCUGCUUUAGUGGCUUUGGGUCUCAGGAUACGAUCCCAUAUCCUUAGGAGGUGUUCACAGUA
This is a non-coding RNA of Paramisgurnus dabryanus, 2045 nucleotides long. Lineage: Eukaryota; Metazoa; Chordata; Actinopteri; Cypriniformes; Cobitidae. The record is from RefSeq and is a predicted model, not a curated record.